This 492-nucleotide ribosomal RNA is filed under the name uncultured bacterium. Its description in RNAcentral is "partial 16S ribosomal RNA". It matches the Rfam family "Bacterial small subunit ribosomal RNA", at positions 29 to 507 of the family's 1533-position model. The record is from RNAcentral.
AGUGAACGCUGGCGGUAGGCCUAACACAUGCAAGUCGAACGGCAGCGCAGUAAGAGCUUGCUCUUACGGGUGGCGAGUGGCGGACGGGUGAGGAAUACAUCGGAAUCUACUUUUUCGUGGGGGAUAACGUAGGGAAACUUACGCUAAUACCGCAUACGACCUACGGGUGAAAGCAGGGGAUCUUCGGACCUUGCGCGAUUGAAUGAGCCGAUGUCGGAUUAGCUAGUUGGCGGGGUAAAGGCCCACCAAGGCGACGAUCCGUAGCUGGUCUGAGAGGAUGAUCAGCCACACUGGAACUGAGACACGGUCCAGACUCCUACGGGAGGCAGCAGUGGGGAAUAUUGGACAAUGGGCGCAAGCCUGAUCCAGCCAUACCGCGUGGGUGAAGAAGGCCUUCGGGUUGUAAAGCCCUUUUGUUGGGAAAGAAAAGCAGCAGGUUAAUACCCCGCUGUUCUGACGGUACCCAAAGAAUAGGCACCGGCUAACUUCGUG